Molecule: ribosomal RNA, 430 nt
Filed under: uncultured bacterium
Lineage: Bacteria
Description: partial 16S ribosomal RNA
Rfam family: Bacterial small subunit ribosomal RNA
Source: RNAcentral
CCUACGGGUGGCUGCAGUCGAGGAUCUUCGGCAAUGGGCGCAAGCCUGACCGAGCGACGCCGCGUGUGCGAUGAAGGCCUUCGGGUUGUAAAGCACUGUCGAGGGGGAGAUCGACCCCUGGAGGAAGCACGGGCUAAGUUCGUGCCAGCAGCCGCGGUAAGACGAACCGUGCAAACGUUAUUCGGAAUCACUGGGCUUAAAGGGCGCGUAGGCGGGCGGUCAAGUCAGGGGUGAAAUCUUUCGGCUCAACCGGAAAAGUGCCUUUGAUACUGGCCGUCUGGAGGGAGGUAGGGGCGUGCGGAACUUUGGGUGGAGCGGUGAAAUGCGUAGAUAUCCAAAGGAACACCGGUGGCGAAAGCGGCGCGCUGGCCCUACUGACGCUGAGGCGCGAAAGCCAGGGGAGCAAACGGGAUUAGAUACCCUUGUAGUC